GUCCCAGCGGGAAGCGCCAGCCUUCCCUCGGGAGCGCGGUGUCCCUGCGAACGCCGCAUCCCGCGCUCCUCUGCCAGCUCUGUUCACCUUGACUCGGAAACCUUGGGAGAGAUGGAGCUCUCCCCGCGCCGUGGCCUUUUGCUGCGGUUGGAUGGCUUGCGCGAUAAGGAUUUAUUUCUAGCUGUGGGACAGUUUGGAUCUUGGGGAAGUGGCAUGGGUUUGGCAACGUCUCUCAGGGGUCCCAGAGUUUUUACUCUGCUUUUUGAGUAUCAUUUGGAGAUGAGAAAUUAGGUUCUUCUCAGAGGGCUUCAGUAAUUCAACCAUGUGGUUUCACUGACUUCAUGAUUAAAAUAGUAGUGCAUAUAUUUAAUGUCCCACAAGCUAAAAUUAAUUUCUGUCCUGCAGUUAUAAACACUGGUGAAAUUUCAGUCCAUUUAAAAUCAGCAGCAAAGCUCUGUCUUCAGUGGCACAAGGGGCUGACUGUCAGAAUUUGAAAACAUCCAGCAAAGGGCAAUCCCCAGUCCCUGUGCCUAUGAUUUCUCUGACGGGCUGCUAUGAUGGUUACAUGAUUGUUACAUGAUUUGGUUUUUUGUAAAAAUUCCUAAUCUGCAGUCCCCAUUUUCUACUUCCCUAAAUAUCUUUGAGUACAAGAUAAGAGCUGUAAGUCACAUUCUGUCAGCAUCCCUAAAAGAUAAAGGUUUUAUUUAAAGAAAAAACGAUUUGGUUUUGACUCUGUCCAAAUUCAUUCUUUCACUGUACCCAAUGCUGAAAAGCAGUAUGUCCCAAGGAGAUCAGCUACUGACCACCCCUACACAUUUAGAGAUGUAUCUCCCAGCUGUUUCUGAGAGGCAGAGUGGCAACCUGUGGAGACACGUCACUGUUAUUACAGAGGUUCUUUGAUCCAGAAGGAAUAAAGAUAUUUGGUUUUAAAUCUUCAUUGAACAGCUAACAAACUAAAAAUAAUUUGUAUUCAAAAUAGUGCAAGGUGUAUAAUAAUGUAAAACAAGUAUAAAUGAGCAGGAGUUUUAUGCUGUAACUGAACAUGUAAAACGGGGUAUCAAGGCUUGGUGCUGGCAGUGUGACCCACUCAAGACACUUAAACUCGCUCUAGACCAUUGGCUUGAUUUUUGGAAAAAGGUAAUUUUACCUAAUAUUUAGUCAGUAUUGUAGCCUAUUCUGCCUCUGUUUCUAGCUUAUAUGUGACCCCAGGGAAAGACACUCAGGGGCUGAAGUGCAUAGGGGUUACCUUGGGCAAAGUGGUGACAAACAGUGGGGCUUGGACAAGCACUACGGGGAGUUUGCCAAUAAUUGCCCGUGAAUGUGGGCUCAAGUGCAUGAAUUUAUCCAAGCGAAAAGGUCAGCAGAAAGCUGUGACCAGACAGUGAAUUCCACACAGUGAUCUUCCAGUGAAGGUGCCCUUGAGGACACCUUCCUUUGGGUUUGGACAUGCUGAUCUCCAGAGGUCCUUUCCAAUCCUGACAAUUCUGUGAUUCUGUAAUUCCCUGCUGCUGCCACCAGUAACAGCCACUUUCCAGUGUAAUUCCCAAAGACAGGUUUGUCCAGAAAGAUGUUGCCUUGUACAGUGGGGCCUGAAAAAACAUCCUUGCAAAGAACAAACCCUGAGAUGCUCUUCUCAGUUCUGUGUGGCCAUAGGGGAAAAGGAUGAAGGACAGAACAAUCUCCACUUGGAGACUUUUAAGUGCAUUCCUCACUUUGAGAACAGGCAACCAUAGGAGGUGCUUAUGGCAAGCAUUUACAAGUAUUACAUUGUUAAACCUCUUUGGAAGAUUAGGUCUCUCCAGAGCUUCCAGUUUGGAUGCUGUGUUUAGAGUGCUGGUGCUGCACUAGCUAUUUAGAGCUACCCCAGGCUGUGUGUUUGGAUUGUUUGGGCACUGCUUUGGAAAUACAGAUACAGAGAGUGUGGAUCAACAAGCAUUCAGCAGAGAAAGAGAAUUUGCAAAGUUUCUGUAAGAGCUGUUGCCCUUAUAUCUGUUCCACAUUCCUUCAUCUCAUUUUUUUCAGGAUGUGAUUGAAAAGGAAGCUGGGAAGGCAGAAGCAGAUUGUACUUCCUACGUCAAGAAGCAUGGGCAGACUCAUCCUAUACACAACUGACAGGCAGAGGGCCCAGAACAUAUUCUGGCAAAGGAAAAGGGAGAGAGAAAGACUUAUAUUCUGAGAGUGUGUGGAUACAUUUGGUUAGAAGAUGAACAUGAGAAGUCUGAGAAACAGAAAUGGCACUACUUAAUGGAAAAAUAAGAGGCAAAAUGGGAUCGCCCUUGUUCCUGUUGCUGCAUGCUCAUGAUCCGGAGCCCCAGGACUCGAGCAGGACUGAGGGACGCAUGCAAGUGGUAAGAAGCUGGAUCAUCUUUCUUCAUCUGCUCACUGCCUUCACAGAAUUUGCAAGUGUGACAAAGUAUUUCAUCCCUUUACAGGAUUAGGGAUGCGGAUUUGCCUCUCACCGAGGUGCUGCUGGCUAGUUCACUGCCUGCUCGAGGGUGUCUCUAAGACUGAUUUAAUCUGAAGCAUGCACUUCCUCAGGAGGUCUGCAGCACGGCUGGAGGAGUGCAAACACUGCAUCCCUUCCCUCCUGUUACCUCCUUCCACAUGACUACAGUGCCUGUGCUGUGCUCUCAGCUCCCUCACCCUGAAAUGUUCCUUGUGAUGGUUUGCACUGAGCUGCCUGGGAGCAGGCUUUGCUUUUGGUGGCAGUAUCCCUUGUUGCCAUGUCAUUCCCAAAGAAGAUGGCUUUAUCCUUGCCUUUAUUCCACUGGGACCAGCUGCUCUUCACACAGGAACCAAAAGUGGCAAAUCUCCCAUAACUUUUUUUAAUUUUCAAUUGAAGCUCCACAUCACGUGAACUUCUUGGGGUUUUUUGAGAGGUAAAGACUUUUUUUUACUUUUUCUUUUUUUUUAGAAAAAACAUCAAAUAAAAACCUGAAGAAAAAAAAACAACAAAACCAAAACUUACAGAAAAAAAAAAUCAAAACCCACACAUUGAGCCCAACCUGGAGAAUCAACUGCAUUGUGUGACUGAUACAGUCCAUGGGAGUACAAAGCAUUCUCAGUCUGGUCUUGCACAUCUACUCCCUAUACCUAUUAAUAGCUUUUAGACAUGAACAUAAACAUGGAGAUGGGCAGGACUAGUUUGCCAUGCAAACAUUUAUCUGGGGGGCCCAUCCUAUUUUCUAGAACUAAAGAUUUCACUGUGAUAAGGUGGACAUUUUUAAGCAUUGGUGGAGAUAGGGGGUUGUAACUGCACUUAACCUGAGGUUGGAUUAGGCAUUCUCUUAUCUUGGAGUCUGCCAGUAAAUAGCAAAGUAUACAAGCAAUGGAAAUAUGUCCUUCUUAAUCUGUAAAAAGAAAAGGACAGUUUUGAAAAUCCAUCAAUCUUUCAUAUCACCUUAAGGCAUAUUGAUCCUGAAUCAUCACAAGGAAAUUCAAUAGGGAUGCUCUUGUUAGUGAUCUAAGAAUAUAAAUGUGGUUGAAUACAUGGAAAACUGUAUCUUGUUCCAGUUGUCUUUAUUACUGCAAUAAAUAAUACCAACUCUCUA
Corvus hawaiiensis (hawaiian crow) is the source of this 3551-nucleotide long non-coding RNA. RefSeq lists it as uncharacterized. The transcript has 5 exons. NCBI's taxonomy places the organism in Eukaryota, Metazoa, Chordata, Aves, Passeriformes, Corvidae. The record is from RefSeq and is a predicted model, not a curated record.